UUGUUUGCUAUUGCUGCAUCUUCAAGAUUCACAAGUUUUUUUUUUCUUGUUUGCCCUAAACCCCCUUGAGAAUCUUGAUGAUGCUGCAGUGGCAAUUAA
This is a non-coding RNA of Cucumis melo (muskmelon), 99 nucleotides long. NCBI's taxonomy places the organism in Eukaryota, Viridiplantae, Streptophyta, Magnoliopsida, Cucurbitales, Cucurbitaceae. The record is from Rfam.